Molecule: ribosomal RNA, 497 nt
Filed under: uncultured bacterium
Lineage: Bacteria
Description: partial 16S ribosomal RNA
Rfam family: Bacterial small subunit ribosomal RNA
Source: RNAcentral
GAUGAACGCUGGCGGCGUGCCUAAUACAUGCAAGUCGAGCGAACAGACGAGGAGCUUGCUCCUCUGACGUUAGCGGCGGACGGGUGAGUAACACGUGGAUAACCUACCUAUAAGACUGGGAUAACUUCGGGAAACCGGAGCUAAUACCGGAUAAUAUAUUGAACCGCAUGGUUCAAUAGUGAAAGACGGUUUUGCUGUCACUUAUAGAUGGAUCCGCGCCGCAUUAGCUAGUUGGUAAGGUAACGGCUUACCAAGGCGACGAUGCGUAGCCGACCUGAGAGGGGUAUCGGCCACACUGGAACUGAGACACGGUCCAGACUCCUACGGGAGGCAGCAGUAGGGAAUCUUCCGCAAUGGGCGAAAGCCUGACGGAGCAACGCCGCGUGAGUGAUGAAGGUCUUCGGAUCGUAAAACUCUGUUAUUAGGGAAGAACAAAUGUGUAAGUAACUAUGCACGUCUUGACGGUACCUAAUCAGAAAGCCACGGCUAACUACGUG